RNAcentral lists this ribosomal RNA (820 nucleotides) under uncultured bacterium. RNAcentral describes it as "bacterial SSU rRNA". It matches the Rfam family "Bacterial small subunit ribosomal RNA", at positions 30 to 804 of the family's 1533-position model. The record is from RNAcentral.
GGAAAAUGGGGGGCGGCCUAACACAUGCAAGUCGAGCGGAAACGAGUUAACUGAACCUUCGGGGAACGUUAACGGCGUCGAGCGGCGGACGGGUGAGUAAUGCCUGGGAAAUUGCCCUGAUGUGGGGGAUAACCAUUGGAAACGAUGGCUAAUACCGCAUAAUAGCCCGGUUCUUCGGAAUGGGUCUCAAAGAGGGGGACCUUUUAGGCCUCUCGCGUCAGGAUAUGCCCAGGUGGGAUUAGCUAGUUGGUGAGGUAAUGGCUCACCAAGGCGACGAUCCCUAGCUGGUCUGAGAGGAUGAUCAGCCACACUGGAACUGAGACACGGUCCAGACUCCUACGGGAGGCAGCAGUGGGGAAUAUUGCACAAUGGGCGCAAGCCUGAUGCAGCCAUGCCGCGUGUAUGAAGAAGGCCUUCGGGUUGUAAAGUACUUUUAGCAGUGAGGAAGGUGGGUAUGUUAAUAGCAUACACAUUUGACGUUAGCUGCAGAGGAAGCACCGGCUAACUCCGUGCCAGCAGCCGCGGUAAUACGGAGGGUGCGAGCGUUAAUCGGAAUUACUGGGCGUAAAGCGCAUGCAGGUGGUUUGUUAAGUCAGAUGUGAAAGCCCGGGGCUCAACCUCGGAAUUGCAUUUGAAACUGGCAAACUAGAGUACUGUAGAGGGGGGUAGAAUUUCAGGUGUAGCGGGUGAAAUGCGUAGAGAUCUGAAGGGAAUACCGGUGGCGAAGGCGGCCCCCCUGGACAGAUACUGACACUUCAGAUGCUAAAAGCGUGGGGAGCCAAACAGGAUUGAGAUACCCCUGGGUAGGUCCACGGCCGUA